GAUGAACGCUAGCGACAGGCCUAACACAUGCAAGUCGAGGGGCAGCACGGUGUAGCAAUACACGGGUGGCGACCGGCGCACGGGUGAGUAACGCGUAUGCAACCUGCCUACUACAAGGGGAUAACCCGUUGAAAGACGGACUAAUACCCUAUAACACAGGGAAUCCGCAUGGAUAUAUUUGUUAAAGAUUUAUCGGUAGUAGAUGGGCAUGCGUUCCAUUAGCUUGUUGGUGAGGUAACGGCUCACCAAGGCAACGAUGGAUAGGGGAACUGAGAGGUUGAUCCCCCCGCACUGGAACUGAGACACGGUCCAGACUCCUACGGGAGGCAGCAGUGAGGAAUAUUGGUCAAUGGACGAGAGUCUGAACCAGCCAAGUCGCGUGAAGGAAGACGGCCCUACGGGUUGUAAACUUCUUUUGUAAGGGAAUAAAUAGUCUUACGCGCUAAGACGUUGCAGGUACCUUACGAAUAAGGAUCGGCUAACUCCGUG
RNAcentral lists this ribosomal RNA (489 nucleotides) under uncultured bacterium. RNAcentral's name for it is "bacterial SSU rRNA". It matches the Rfam family "Bacterial small subunit ribosomal RNA", at positions 28 to 507 of the family's 1533-position model. The record is from RNAcentral.